RNAcentral lists this unclassified non-coding RNA (1886 nucleotides) under Dermacentor andersoni. RNAcentral's name for it is "uncharacterized LOC126537931". Lineage: Eukaryota; Metazoa; Arthropoda; Arachnida; Ixodida; Ixodidae. The record is from RNAcentral.
GUUUACGAGGCAAACAAGGUGUACGGGCCGUGAAGUCUCGGCUGCCUGACUCGGGAAACUACGGGAAACUCUAUAGUCCAGCCCAUGUGAGGUAGAGAAAGACUGUCAAGCCCCACGGUAUGGUUAAUCAGGGUGCCGAUGGCUCCGCCUGAAAAGUGUCUCAACGAGAUCGCGGCGCGGAGACUGCGGAAGGCUGCUGCUGACCGUGAGCGUAGGGCAAGGAUGUCUCCUGCUGAGCGUGAACGUCUCGCCGCAGCCAAGCGGGCACGUUAUGCUGAGACGAUGACGGCAGAGCACCGAGCUCGUCGCACCGCUGCUGCACGCGAGCGGUACUUGGCUCUUGCUGCGUCAGAUGAAUACCGCGCCCGUCGCAACUUGGCGCAGCGUGAGCGGUACGCCGCGAGAGCCACCGUGCAAAACCGGGAGAUUCGAGCAGCGGGUGGACGUGAUCUCCGCAAGCGUCGUCCUAGGCUGAAACAAGUGGACGUGUCCUAACUUCUCUGUGUUGAUUCUCCCUUACCAGCAUUGCUAGGCAUAAGAGAAGACGCACAUGAAGACUGUGAAAGGAUAAGGCCGGCAGCAGUGGCUGAAGUGCAAUUUUCACAACAGUUGAGUGUACCCUGCGCAAACACACUGGUCAUGGCCACAGGUGACAUUGCUGCCUACCGAAAAAGGAUUGUGUGCAGAUGCAACAGCAGUGCGGCCACAGGGCGUCAUGCCACAAUGUCUCGUGCCAUAACCUGUUCAAUCCGUCAAUUUGUGCGUAGUGUGUCGGCAUGGAAGAACACGUCAACAUGGAUGCUGCACAAGGAAACACAGACCCGACCCGCCUUGGUAACAAGGAAAACACAGACGCUGUGACAUCGGCGUCUUGUGUGGGCAAGGCAAACCUGUACAUUCCAUGUGCAUCAGUUGUGAAGUGCUGCUGUGCUGUUGCUCCUGAUGCAUUCAUAUUUACAGUUGCCAACAUUGUGUCCUUGUGACAUGUGUGUAGUGCUGCCAGUAGCGGCCACCUGCAGGGUUCGCAUAGGAAGAUGACAAUUGGCCAGCCGUGAUCUAACAAUUGGUCCUUGUGUGCGUCUGGGUGCUCCACAUGCCAGUUGCCACUGGGCAUCACUGUCAUCUACAAUAGGCAGCUCACACCUGCCAGCUCCCUGCACUUACAUUGCUGCAUCAUGGACCGUCACUGGCUUUAACUAGGUGCAUAGUGCCACAGCUCCAGACUUUACGUACUGGGAUUAUAACUGCCAAACAUGGUGUCAUCUUUGUAAGUCUACCGUGUUGAGUUAUACCAAAUUAAUUCUUUUAUGUUUGCAAUGUUGCAUGGUUGUUUUUUAUCUCCGCGAUGCAUGGAUUGUUAAUGUUCUGAUGUCCAGAAAAUACAAAUAAUAUGUUAUAUUGCUGUGAUUUGUGCUACUCCAAAUGAAUUUUGAUGUGUAAAAAAUAACUCUGAGCUAGGUACUGUGGUGUAUCGCCCUCUAAACAGCAACCUAACAUUGUUUAUGAAUUGUCUUGAAGCAUUUUUGCGCUCGCUCAAAUAACUUUAAUUUGGGCUAUUGACUUCAACAUUAAUGUUCUUGAUGAUGCACCUAUUGUAUGUGACCUUACUAUGUGGCUACUUUCAUCAGGCUUUGUUACUAUGAUCAAAACACGUACUCGAGUAACUUCGUCCACUUCGUCUGCUAUAGAUUUGCUAAUUACAAACUGGGAAACUACAAUUCGUGACUCUGGUACAUUAUCAAUUAUGGACCAUUGUCCAAUUUUGUGUUUAACGAUGCUCCAGGGAAAACUGGAACAUGUCAGUGUGACUCAGUUACUGUUCAGUGUAUGUCCCAUGACAUGUUUAGAGGUUUUCAAAUCUAAUAUCUCUUCACAAGAUUGGUCUU